GUCAGGAUAGCUUAGUGGCAAGGGAGUUCGACUCUCAGCCGAAAGGUACUGAGUUCGAGCCCCAAUCAACCCUGGCA
Merluccius polli (Benguela hake) is the source of this 77-nucleotide non-coding RNA. NCBI's taxonomy places the organism in Eukaryota, Metazoa, Chordata, Actinopteri, Gadiformes, Merlucciidae. The record is from the annotation of a GenBank genome assembly.